This 465-nucleotide ribosomal RNA is filed under the name uncultured bacterium. Its description in RNAcentral is "partial 16S ribosomal RNA". It matches the Rfam family "Bacterial small subunit ribosomal RNA", at positions 28 to 507 of the family's 1533-position model. The record is from RNAcentral.
GACGAACGCUGGCGGCGUGCUUAACACAUGCAAGUCGAGCGGUAAGGCCCCUUCGGGGGUACACGAGCGGCGAACGGGUGAGUAACACGUGAGCAAUCUGCCCAUCACAUCGGGAUAACUCCGGGAAACCGAAGCUAAUACCGAAUACGACCACCUCCGGCAUCGGAUGGUGGUGGAAAGUUCCGGCGGUGAUGGAUGAGCUCGCGGCCUAUCAGCUUGUUGGUGGGGUAACGGCCCACCAAGGCUUCGACGGGUAGCCGGCCUGAGAGGGUGACCGGCCACACUGGGACUGAGACACGGCCCAGACUCCUACGGGAGGCAGCAGUGGGGAAUAUUGGACGAUGGGCGAAAGCCUGAUCCAGCAACGCCGCGUGAGGGAUGACGGCCUUCGGGUUGUAAACCUCUUUCAGCAGGGACGAAGCGCAAGUGACGGUACCUGCAGAAGAAGCACCGGCCAACUACGUG